UUAAAACUAUCCCAAAACCACCAACCCCCCCCCCAUUCCCUCCCAACGGCUGCGACGUUCAAUUGCAAACGAGUUCCCCUCAUUCCCCCCCAACGGCAGUGACGAUUGCACACGGCCGCGGCGAUUCCAACUGCAGCAGCGACCACUGGUGACAGCGUAGCAGCGACAACUGCAGCAGCGAUUCCUCUGUGGUAUCUCGAUUCGUCCUAGGUAUGAUGAAUUCGAUCACCCUAUCUGGUGUUAUAUGGCAUAUGCGGAAUCCAUUUAACCAGAUAAAUGAAUCGGCCAUUAGUGAUAUUUAUUUUAUUAAACAUGAUUAAGUAAUAAUUGUAAAGUAAUGUAAUUUAUUGUGGACUAUUUUUUUGAAAAUGGCAUAUGCGGCAUCCUGAAUUCCUAAUGCCCUGAUUGAAAAUUGAGAUCGAAAUAUGAAAUAUCCCACCCGAAAGCACAUGCAUGCAUGAGGAUUGAGAAAUUGAGGACAGUUGCCACCAACUGUAGUCUGUAGUCUGUAGACUGUAGUCAAAACCCAGAUAUGGUUUGAAAAGCUCUCUCUGUUCAUAUUAAGGGUUCAUACAUAUAUAGCAAGCAAAUCUGCAUAUGCAUGGAAUCAAUCAGCUGAAUUAUUACUUGCUUGCGUUUGUACAAAUAAUGCAGACAGUUCUAAUUUAACGCGUUUGAUUUACGAGUGGUGCUGGUUUCCUUUUCCAGGAUGACAGAUCUGUUCCAGCUGUGUUCACAAUCUUUAAUUCUUUAUUACGAAAUUAUGGAUUUAUGGGUUGGUUAAUUGCAUAAUU
RNAcentral lists this long non-coding RNA (794 nucleotides) under Zostera marina. RNAcentral describes it as "long non-coding RNA (ZMAR_LNC004942)". The record is from RNAcentral. Lineage: Eukaryota; Viridiplantae; Streptophyta; Magnoliopsida; Alismatales; Zosteraceae.